RNAcentral lists this ribosomal RNA (440 nucleotides) under uncultured bacterium. Its description in RNAcentral is "partial 16S ribosomal RNA". It matches the Rfam family "Bacterial small subunit ribosomal RNA", at positions 339 to 795 of the family's 1533-position model. The record is from RNAcentral.
CUACGGGUGGCUGCAGUAGGGAAUAUUGGACAAUGGGCGAAAGCCUGAUCCAGCAACACCGCGUGCACGAUGACAGCCUUCGGGUUGUAAAGUGCUUUUAGAGGAGAUGAGAAAGGACAGUAUCCUCUGAAUAAGCCUCGGCGAACUACGUGCCAGCAGCCGCGGUAAAACGUAGGGGGCAAGCGUUAUCCGGAUUUAUUGGGCGUAAAGCGCGUGCAGGCGGUCUAGCAAGUUGGAUGUGAAAGCUCCCGGCUCAACUGGGAGAGGUCGUUCAAUACUGUUAGACUAGAGAAUAGGAGAGGGAGGUGGAAUUCCGGGUGUAGUGGUGAAAUGCGUAGAUAUCCGGAGGAACACCAGUGGCGAAAGCGGCCUCCUGGACUAUUUCUGACGCUAAGACGCGAAAGCUAGGGUAGCAAACGGGAUUAGAUACCCCCGUAGUC